Molecule: transfer RNA, 77 nt
Filed under: Candidatus Pelagibacteraceae bacterium
Lineage: Bacteria; Pseudomonadati; Pseudomonadota; Alphaproteobacteria; Candidatus Pelagibacterales; Candidatus Pelagibacteraceae
Description: tRNA-Met
Rfam family: tRNA
About the family: Transfer RNA (tRNA) molecules are approximately 80 nucleotides in length. Their secondary structure includes four short double-helical elements and three loops (D, anti-codon, and T loops).
Source: RNAcentral
GGCGGGGNAGCUCAGCUGGNUAGAGCAGCGGAAUCAUAAUCCGCGUGUCGGGGGUUCAAGUCCCUCUCCCGCUACCA